AUUAUUUGCACAGGCCCAAUAAGUGAUAAUGUAGAUAAAGAGGCCUAGUCCAAUUUUUCAUAAUCAUACAUGGAUGCUAGUACACCAACUUGGACGCAUGCACAGGCCCAAUAAGUGAUAAUGUACUUGCGCAGAGCCGGGUACCCUAUUGAUGCAUUGUGUAGUUUUUUGUAUGGGAUUUUUUUUUUUAACUUUUGUUUUGCCAUGUUGUAUAUAAUACAUACUAUAAUAGGUUGAUUAUAUUGAUAUGAGAAUAACCGGUGAUUUUUUAUGUGUUGAUAUUUCGUAUCUAUACUAUUAUUUUCGAAGUAAAUUUUUGCAACGGAGCUCUCACGUUAAAAGUUAGAGCGGUUAAUAUCGUUUAUACCCUUAAUGAAUAAUUAUAUAAAUUAGUAGAAAUAUAAAAACGAAUUUCAAAUCUAUCUAAUUAAAAAAAUGAUUAAAAUUAAUAAUAAAUCGUUUAUACCUUUAAUGAAUAAAUUAUAUAAAUAGUCAAAAAUAAAAACGAAUUUAGUAAAUUUUUG
This 524-nucleotide long non-coding RNA is filed under the name Brassica rapa (field mustard). Its description in RNAcentral is "long non-coding RNA (BRAP_LNC006461)". The record is from RNAcentral. Lineage: Eukaryota; Viridiplantae; Streptophyta; Magnoliopsida; Brassicales; Brassicaceae.